GAGUUUGAACCUGGCUCAGGACGAACGCUGGCGGCGCGCCUAACACAUGCAAGUCGAACGGGGUUAUAGGAACAGCUUGCUGGGAAUAUAACUUAGUGGCGGACGGGUGAGUAACACGUGAGCAACCUGCCUUUCAGAGGGGAAUAACGUUUGGAAACGAACGCUAAUACCGCAUAACAUUGGGAUAUGGCAUCAUGACCCAAUCAAAGAUUUAUCGCUGAAAGAUGGGCUCGCGCCCGAUUAGGUAGUUGGUGAGAUAAUAGCCCACCAAGCCGACGAUCGGUAGCCGGACUGAGAGGUUGAACGGCCACAUUGGGACUGAGACACGGCCCAGACUCCUACGGGAGGCAGCAGUGGGGGAUAUUGCACAAUGGGGGGAACCCUGAUGCAGCGACGCCGCGUGAGGGAAGACGGUUUUCGGAUUGUAAACCUCUGUCUUUAGGGACGAAACAAAUGACGGUACCUAAAGAGGAAGCCACGGCUAACUACGUGCCAGCAGCCGCGGUAAUACGUAGGUGGCAAGCGUUGUCCGGAAUUACUGGGUGUAAAGGGAGCGUAGGCGGGAAUGCAAGUUGAAUGUUUAAACUAUGGGCUCAACCCAUAGUCGCGUUCAAAACUGCAUUUCUUGAGUGGAGUAGAGGCAGGCGGAAUUCCUAGUGUAGCGGUGAAAUGCGUAGAUAUUAGGAGGAACACCAGUGGCGAAGGCGGCCUGCUGGGCUCUAACUGACGCUGAGGCUC
RNAcentral lists this ribosomal RNA (738 nucleotides) under uncultured bacterium. Its description in RNAcentral is "bacterial SSU rRNA". It matches the Rfam family "Bacterial small subunit ribosomal RNA", at positions 9 to 754 of the family's 1533-position model. The record is from RNAcentral.